UCUUAAAUCUUGAAGUUGGCGGGCUCUUAAAACACGCUUUUCAAAAUGAAAAAAUCGGGGCAUUCUAAAGCGCUAUCUUCAUCGACCCUCUUAUCUUCAUCGUCCUUCUCCCUUAUAGACCCUUACAGACCCAAAACAUAAAAUCCCUAGCUCACAGACCCUCUUAUCUUCAUCGUCCUUCUCCCUCACUCCAUUGUUCUGUUCGCGAGUCAUGGUGGUCGAGCUCUGAAUUCCGACCACCUAGGACGACCCAUUCAAGCACGUAAUGGUGUCGCUCUACCUCAGUUUGCUGAACAACGAUCCCAGAGUUAACCGUCAUGUUAUGGGUUUCGAGCCUGAGCAAAUUAUGAUUCGGUUUCGAUAUCCUGGAUUACAGGUUUGUUUCUGGACCAUAUAGAGGAAGCCGAGAAAUCAUUUGUUAUGCGAAGCUAAGAAAAGUGAUAAAGCUCAGAUCUUGCAGCUCUCAAACAAACUCCAAUCAGUAAUCAGUGGAAAGCCCUUUCUUUUCUGGGUAUGUUCUUCCUUUGUUUCCCCUAACAAACCCACCAAAACAAAUAUGCAAUUGCAUUUUCAAGUGUCAAGUCUCUUGCUUUGUUUCCCUGCGCCCGUGAAUUGAAUUGGGUGUGUGCAGAUUGGAUUUUAAAGCUUGCGCUAUAUAAUGGAGGAUGUCCAGGAGCAGCAAAGUGAAUCACUUGGUACUUCAUCCUAAUCUUCCCUUCAUUUUCAGUUAUGAAAUCUUUAGAGAUAUAGUUGUGAUGUUGAUACCUUUUUUCAUAUUGUUAAUCAUCGAUGCUUGAUUAUCUGAAGCUGAAAUCACACCACCAAGUUUAGUUUUAUGUGAAUAUAGAGUAAUAUAGCCAUUUUGAAAUUCAAGUGAAAUCUACAAUGACCACUAUUUGUUUAAUAAUCAAGAGAUCAUCAGUUUAUUUUGAUGGAAGGAAUUUAGUAUCGACUGAAUUUGAUCUUAAAGUCAUAAAAAGACGCUAAACUUCGGGGAUGACACUACCUUUCUUGAUACUCUUCCUAUUGGUAGUGGUAAUUUUGUUAGCACUCGGAUCAAACUGAGUCUUAAAAUGUUCAUUUAUCUAGUGCCACUGUUAGAAAGUGGUUUUCUAGAUUCAAGUCAUGGUUGUAAUUCAAGAACCUUCAGAUAAGAUGGUUUUUGAGUCAUUGAGUUGGACUGCAUACACACAGAUGUUUUUUUAUAUCCUUUUCUACUUAAUUCUUGACAAACUGUUUACUGAUUUUUUG
Long non-coding RNA from Rosa rugosa (rugosa rose), 1251 nucleotides. RefSeq lists it as uncharacterized. The transcript has 3 exons. The record is from RefSeq and is a predicted model, not a curated record. NCBI's taxonomy places the organism in Eukaryota, Viridiplantae, Streptophyta, Magnoliopsida, Rosales, Rosaceae.